Molecule: ribosomal RNA, 264 nt
Filed under: uncultured Ascomycota
Lineage: Eukaryota; Fungi; Ascomycota
Description: partial 18S ribosomal RNA
Rfam family: Eukaryotic small subunit ribosomal RNA
Source: RNAcentral
UUAAAAAGCUCGUAGUUGAACCUUGGGCCUGGCUGGCCGGUCCGCCUCACCGCGUGUACUGGUCCGGCCGGGCCUUUCCCUCUGUGGAACCCCAUGCCCUUCACUGGGUGUGGCGGGGAAACAGGACUUUUACUGUGAAAAUAUUAGAGUGCUCCAGGCAGGCCUAUGCUCGAAUACAUUAGCAUGGAAUAAUAGAAUAGGACGUGUGGUUCUAUUUUGUUGGUUUCUAGGACCGCCGUAAUGAUUAAUAGGGACAGUCGGGGG